This 75-nucleotide transfer RNA is filed under the name Clostridium beijerinckii. RNAcentral describes it as "tRNA-Gly". It matches the Rfam family "tRNA". From Rfam's summary of the family: Transfer RNA (tRNA) molecules are approximately 80 nucleotides in length. The record is from RNAcentral. Lineage: Bacteria; Bacillati; Bacillota; Clostridia; Eubacteriales; Clostridiaceae.
GCGGAAAUGACUCAACGGUAGAGUGCCACCUUGCCAAGGGGGAGGCGGCGGGGUCGAAUCCCGUGUUCCGCUCCA